GAGCGGCGAACGGGUGAGUAACACGUGAGUAACCUGCCCCUGACUCUGGGAUAAGCCUGGGAAACCGGGUCUAAUACCGGAUGUGACCUCCUCCGGCAUCGGAUGGUGGUGGAAAGUUUUUUCGGUUGGGGAUGGGCUCGCGGCCUAUCAGCUUGUUGGUGGGGUAGUGGCCUACCAAGGCGACGACGGGUAGCCGGCCUGAGAGGGCGACCGGCCACACUGGGACUGAGACACGGCCCAGACUCCUACGGGAGGCAGCAGUGGGGAAUAUUGCGCAAUGGGCGGAAGCCUGACGCAGCGACGCCGCGUGGGGGAUGACGGCCUUCGGGUUGUAAACCUCUUUCAGCAGGGACGAAGUUGACGUGUACCUGCAGAAGAAGCGCCGGCUAACUACGUGCCAGCAGCCGCGGUAAUACGUAGGGCGCAAGCGUUGUCCGGAAUUAUUGGGCGUAAAGAGCUCGUAGGUGGCUGGUCGCGUCUGCCGUGAAAGCCCGCAGCUUAACUGCGGGUCUGCGGUGGAUACGGGCCGGCUAGAGGUAGGUAGGGGCAAGUGGAAUUCCU
Molecule: ribosomal RNA, 561 nt
Filed under: Nonomuraea sp. 322B04
Lineage: Bacteria; Bacillati; Actinomycetota; Actinomycetes; Streptosporangiales; Streptosporangiaceae
Description: bacterial SSU rRNA
Rfam family: Bacterial small subunit ribosomal RNA
Source: RNAcentral